GAUGAACGCUGGCGGCGUGCCUAAUACAUGCAAGUCGAGCGAACAGACGAGGAGCUUGCUCCUCUGACGUUAGCGGCGGACGGGUGAGUAACACGUGGAUAACCUACCUAUAAGACUGGGAUAACUUCGGGAAACCGGAGCUAAUACCGGAUAAUAUAUUGAACCGCAUGGUUCAAUAGUGAAAGACGGUUUUGCUGUCACUUAUAGAUGGAUCCGCGCCGCAUUAGCUAGUUGGUAAGGUAACGGCUUACCAAGGCAACGAUGCGUAGCCGACCUGAGAGGGUGAUCGGCCACACUGGAACUGAGACACGGUCCAGACUCCUACGGGAGGCAGCAGUAGGGAAUCUUCCGCAAUGGGCGAAAGCCUGACGGAGCAACGCCGCGUGAGUGAUGAAGGUCUUCGGAUCGUAAAACCCUGUUAUUAGGGAAGAACAAAUGUGUAAGUAACUAUGCACGUCUUGACGGUACCUAAGCAGAAAGCCACGGCUAACUACGU
This 496-nucleotide ribosomal RNA is filed under the name uncultured bacterium. Its description in RNAcentral is "partial 16S ribosomal RNA". It matches the Rfam family "Bacterial small subunit ribosomal RNA", at positions 28 to 506 of the family's 1533-position model. The record is from RNAcentral.